UGGGCUGUAGCCAAGCGGUAAGGCAACGGACUUUGACUCCGUCAUUCGCAGGUUCGAAUCCUGCCAGCCCAG
Molecule: transfer RNA, 72 nt
Filed under: Tepidibacillus decaturensis
Lineage: Bacteria; Bacillati; Bacillota; Bacilli; Caryophanales; Bacillaceae
Also listed under: 1 other name
Rfam family: tRNA
About the family: Transfer RNA (tRNA) molecules are approximately 80 nucleotides in length. Their secondary structure includes four short double-helical elements and three loops (D, anti-codon, and T loops). Further hydrogen bonds mediate the characteristic L-shaped molecular structure. tRNAs have two regions of fundamental functional importance: the anti-codon, which is responsible for specific mRNA codon recognition, and the 3' end, to which the tRNAs corresponding amino acid is attached (by aminoacyl-tRNA synthetases). tRNAs cope with the degeneracy of the genetic code in two manners: having more than one tRNA (with a specific anti-codon) for a particular amino acid; and 'wobble' base-pairing, i.e. permitting non-standard base-pairing at the 3rd anti-codon position.
Source: Rfam by way of RNAcentral